AUUGAACGCUGGCGGUAUGCUUAACACAUGCAAGUCGAACGGCAGCAGGCCUUCGGGCGCUGACGAGCGGCGGACGGGUGAGCAAUGCAUAGGAAUCUGCCUAUUAGUGGGGGAUAACGUGGGGAAACUCACGCUAAUACCGCAUACGAUCUACGGAUGAAAGCUGGGGACCUUCGGGCCUGGCGCUAAUAGAUGAGCCUAUGUCGGAUUAGCUAGUUGGUGGGGUAAAGGCCUACCAAGGCGACGAUCCGUAACUGGUCUGAGAGGAUGAUCAGUCACACUGGAACUGAGACACGGUCCAGACUCCUACGGGAGGCAGCAGUGGGGAAUAUUGGACAAUGGGCGAAAGCCUGAUCCAGCAAUACCGCGUGUGUGAAGAAGGCCUGAGGGUUGUAAAGCACUUUCAAUAGGAAGGAAUACCUGCUGGUUAAUACCCGGCAGACUGACAUUACCUAUACAAGAAGCACCGGCUAACUCCGUGCCAGCAGCCGCGGUAA
This 497-nucleotide ribosomal RNA is filed under the name uncultured bacterium. RNAcentral's name for it is "partial 16S ribosomal RNA". It matches the Rfam family "Bacterial small subunit ribosomal RNA", at positions 30 to 523 of the family's 1533-position model. The record is from RNAcentral.